UACGUAGGAUGCGAGCGUUAAUCGGAAUUACUGGGCGUAAAGCGUGCGCAGGCGGUGAUGUAAGACCGAUGUGAAAUCCCCGGGCUUAACCUGGGAACUGCAUUGGUGACUGCAUCGCUCGAGUAUGGCAGAGGGGGGUAGAAUUCCACGUGUAGCAGUGAAAUGCGUAGAGAUGUGGAGGAAUACCGAUGGCGAAGGCAGCCCCCUGGGUCAAUACUGACGCUCAUGCACGAAAGCGUGGGGAGCAAACAGG
RNAcentral lists this ribosomal RNA (253 nucleotides) under uncultured bacterium. Its description in RNAcentral is "partial 16S ribosomal RNA". It matches the Rfam family "Bacterial small subunit ribosomal RNA", at positions 524 to 776 of the family's 1533-position model. The record is from RNAcentral.